GUCAGUACAGGCGGUGCGAUGAGUUUUUCUUGUUUUUAAGUGCAGCUAUAUGUAAUCCUGUCAAAGGGAUAAUAUUUCAUGAAUUAAAGCCAGUUUCAAGGUAUUUUGAAAGGUAUGGAUUGAAAGCUCUGAAAUUUUGUAAGAAGCCGAAGAUUUUGUAAAAUCAUGCUCUGUGUCAAAUUGACAUAUAGUGCUUCUUAUAUUUUGAUGAUGUUUUUAUUCCUUUGUUAAGCUUGAACAAAAAUGUCGGCAAAAUCAUUUCUUUUUUUAAAAUUGGCACUUGUAAAUCAAAAAGGAGGUUUGCUCAUGAAAUAAUGUAAGAAAAAUAACCCCAAAGAACUCUUUGAAAAAGGAGAAGAAAGCAAUAUAAAUCCUAUAAAGUAGGAGUUCCAAUUUUGUGCCAAAUUAAAAAUGUCUGGACAUCCUUCUUCAUCUGCUUGGAAGAAUCAAGAUGAUAGAAGAUAUCAGCCUUCAAUAUCUCAGGAUGAAAGAAGAUAUCAGCCUUCAACAUCUCAGGAUGAAAGAAGAUAUCAGCUUUCUACAUCUCAAGAUGAAAGGAGAUAUCAGCUUUCAACAUCUCAAGAUAAAAGAAAGCAUCAGCCUUCAGAUGAAAGGAGAUAUCACCCUUCAACGUCUCCAGAUGAAAGAAGACAUCACCUUCCAGCAUCUUCAGAGGAAAUAAGACAUCACCUUCCAGCUUCUUUAGAGGAAAAACAUCACUUUCCAGCAUCUUCAGAGGAAAUAAGACA
This is a long non-coding RNA of Argiope bruennichi, 749 nucleotides long. RefSeq lists it as uncharacterized. The transcript is spliced from 5 exons. The record is from RefSeq and is a predicted model, not a curated record. NCBI's taxonomy places the organism in Eukaryota, Metazoa, Arthropoda, Arachnida, Araneae, Araneidae.